CUACGGGGGGCUCCAGUGGGGAAUAUUGCACAAUGGGCGCAAGCCUGAUGCAGCAACGCCGCGUGAGGGAUGAAGGCCUUCGGGUUGUAAACCUCUUUUAGCAGGGAAGAAGCGAAAGUGACGGUACCUGCAGAAAAAGCACCGGCUAACUACGUGCCAGCAGCCGCGGUAAUACGUAGGGUGCAAGCGUCGUCCGGAAUUAUUGGGCGUAAAGAGCUCGUAGGCGGUUUGUCACGUCUGCUGUGAAAAUCCAAGGCUCAACCUUGGACUUGCAGUGGGUACGGGCAGGCUAGAGUGCGGUAGGGGAGAUGGGAAUUCCUGGUGUAGCGGUGGAAUGCGCAGAUAUCAGGAGGAACACCAAUGGCGAAGGCACAUCUCUGGGCCGUAACUGACGCUGAGGAGCGAAAGCGCGGGGAGCGAACAGGAUUAGAUACCCUCGUAGUC
Molecule: ribosomal RNA, 444 nt
Filed under: uncultured bacterium
Lineage: Bacteria
Description: partial 16S ribosomal RNA
Rfam family: Bacterial small subunit ribosomal RNA
Source: RNAcentral